Molecule: ribosomal RNA, 482 nt
Filed under: uncultured bacterium
Lineage: Bacteria
Description: partial 16S ribosomal RNA
Rfam family: Bacterial small subunit ribosomal RNA
Source: RNAcentral
AUUGAACGCUGGCGGCAUGCUUUACACAUGCAAGUCGAACGGUAACAGGCCGUAAGGUGCUGACGAGUGGCGAACGGGUGAGUAAUGCAUCGGAACGUGCCCAGUCGUGGGGGAUAACUACUCGAAAGAGUAGCUAAUACCGCAUACGAUCUAUGGAUGAAAGCGGGGGACCGUAAGGCCUCGCGCGAUUGGAGCGGCCGAUGUCAGAUUAGGUAGUUGGUGGGGUAAAGGCUCACCAAGCCAACGAUCUGUAGCUGGUCUGAGAGGACGACCAGCCACACUGGGACUGAGACACGGCCCAGACUCCUACGGGAGGCAGCAGUGGGGAAUUUUGGACAAUGGGCGCAAGCCUGAUCCAGCAAUGCCGCGUGCAGGAAGAAGGCCUUCGGGUUGUAAACUGCUUUUGUACGGAACGAAACGGCUCUGGUUAAUACCCGGGGCUAAUGACGGUACCGUAAGAAUAAGCACCGGCUAACUACGUG